UGUGCUUUGGAGCUGGAGGCACACUGGCUGCCCUUUAUUGCCUCCGCACAUCGCUACCUAUGGCCCCAAGUAGCCCUCAAGGGUGAAAUCCUGGGACUAAUCAAAGGAAACUUGCCUGCGGAUUUGGAGAGGCCGGCUUGUGCGUGCGUCGUUUCUCACCAGUGUCCUGCCCAGAGGGUUCCGGGACUUCUAGGAAAAAAUCUGAGAUUUGGAAAGAUGAAAUGACUUACCCAAACUCACAAGAGAAAGGGGCCACCUGAGGGCAGUCCAUACUGCGACAUGAGGACCAGAGGAAAGUAAGAACUUGGCAGCCACUCAGCUAAUCCUAGCCAGCUGUGUCUGCCACUCAAAAUGGUAAAAAGAUGAAGACAGAAGUUAUGUCACCAUA
This is a long non-coding RNA of Zalophus californianus (California sea lion), 388 nucleotides long. RefSeq lists it as uncharacterized. Lineage: Eukaryota; Metazoa; Chordata; Mammalia; Carnivora; Otariidae. The transcript has 3 exons. The record is from RefSeq and is a predicted model, not a curated record.